UAAUAAGUGUUUUAUGGCACUUUUUAAAUCCAUAUCCACCCUUGUGUGCAAUGUCAGUCGAUCUUCUUCAUGGAGAUCGACCAAACAUCAACCUUUAUCUUUUAGCUCUUUGUCUGAAAAAUAUUAUGAAUAAACAAUUCAAAAUA
RNAcentral lists this unclassified non-coding RNA (146 nucleotides) under soil metagenome. RNAcentral's name for it is "partial internal transcribed spacer 1". The record is from RNAcentral.